This 252-nucleotide unclassified non-coding RNA is filed under the name uncultured fungus. Its description in RNAcentral is "sequence contains ITS2". Lineage: Eukaryota; Fungi. The record is from RNAcentral.
AACGCACAUUGCGCCCUCUGGUAUUCCGGGGGGCAUGCUUGUUCGAGCGUCAUUACAACCCUCAAGCUCUUGCUUGGUAUUGGGUGGCCAGUCCUUUAGGACUCACCCGAAAAGCAGCGGCGAUUCAGCCAGACUUUGGGCGCAUUAAUUAAUAUCAUUCGCUUUGAAGUUUCUGGGUGGCAUUUGCCGGACAACCCACCUAUAUUUUCUAUGGUUGACCUCGGAUCAAGUAGGAAUACCCGCUGAACUUAA